This 502-nucleotide ribosomal RNA is filed under the name uncultured bacterium. Its description in RNAcentral is "bacterial SSU rRNA". It matches the Rfam family "Bacterial small subunit ribosomal RNA", at positions 10 to 507 of the family's 1533-position model. The record is from RNAcentral.
AGUUUGAUCCUGGCUCAGAUUGAACGCUGGCGGCAGGCCUAACACAUGCAAGUCGAGCGGUAGAGAGAAGCUUGCUUCUCUUGAGAGCGGCGGACGGGUGAGUAAUACCUAGGAAUCUGCCUGAUAGUGGGGGAUAACGUUCGGAAACGGACGCUAAUACCGCAUACGUCCUACGGGAGAAAGCAGGGGACCUUCGGGCCUUGCGCUAUCAGAUGAGCCUAGGUCGGAUUAGCUAGUUGGUGAGGUAAUGGCUCACCAAGGCUACGAUCCGUAACUGGUCUGAGAGGAUGAUCAGUCACACUGGAACUGAGACACGGUCCAGACUCCUACGGGAGGCAGCAGUGGGGAAUAUUGGACAAUGGGCGAAAGCCUGAUCCAGCCAUGCCGCGUGUGUGAAGAAGGUCUUCGGAUUGUAAAGCACUUUAAGUUGGGAGGAAGGGCAUUAACCUAAUACGUUGGUGUCUUGACGUUACCGACAGAAUAAGCACCGGCUAACUCUGUG